Long non-coding RNA from Varanus komodoensis (Komodo dragon), 621 nucleotides. RefSeq lists it as uncharacterized. Lineage: Eukaryota; Metazoa; Chordata; Lepidosauria; Squamata; Varanidae. The record is from RefSeq and is a predicted model, not a curated record. The transcript has 3 exons.
CUAGUCACACAUUUCUGUUGUCAUCUCUAGUUUGUCCCUUCAUGCAACAGUUGGCCGUAUUAUGGAAAAGCUGCUGGAAGAAACGAGGGCAACCCUCAAGGAUUAUUAACAACCUAUUAAGACAAAAUAAAUAUUUCUCAUUUAACACUAACGAGGAAAUGCUCGAAGGACACUUUUCCCAAGCACUUGCCUCUACGGAGCUGGUUGCCUGCUCGUGUCUUGCUCCUGUGCACCAUGGGAUGGCAACAGAGCACUCUCUGUGUCCAGGAAAGCAUCUCUUUCUUUACCAUGAGUUGACCAAAAUGUCUCAUGUUCACAUUGCAGGUGUACUUUAAGUGGGACUUUCUUAGUCGAGGGUUUUGUGCCAUUUCCCACUCUCCCUUUGUGGGUUGGUGGGGUGGAGAGGUAAAAACCGUGGGCAUGAGUGCUUUUGGGAUUGGAUCCAGAAUCUGCCUUCUGUGAGAGGAAGCCUUCUGCUCACAGAGGUUCCCACCAUCCCGAGUUGCGGGCUUCCCCUUCCCUGCACACCAGGGUCAGAUCCUGAUUCUUUGUGUGGCACCCAGAUUGCAUGUUUGAUGGUGUGCGUUAGAUGAGAAGAGCAGAACAUCAUAAGAAAAGCCC